This 490-nucleotide ribosomal RNA is filed under the name Nematoda environmental sample. RNAcentral describes it as "bacterial SSU rRNA". It matches the Rfam family "Eukaryotic small subunit ribosomal RNA", at positions 71 to 567 of the family's 1831-position model. Lineage: Eukaryota; Metazoa; Nematoda. The record is from RNAcentral.
CCUUARUACGGUGAAGCCGCGAAUAKCUCAUUACAACAGCCGUAGUUUAUUGGAUCUAAACUUUACUUGGAUACCUGUGGUAAUUCUAGAGCUAAUACAUGCCCCAAACCCUGACCUUACGGAAGGGGUGCAUUUAUUAGAUCAAAACCAAUCGGCGUCAGCCGUCCCUUGGUGAAUCUGAAUAACUCAGCAGACCGCACGAGCUUGACUCGGCGGCGUGUCUUUCAAGUGUCUGCCUUAUCAACUUUCGAUGGUAGUUUAUGUGCCUACCAUGGUUGUAACGGGUAACGGAGAAUAAGGGUUCGACUCCGGAGAGGCCGCCUUAGAAACAGCGACCACAUCUAAGGAAGGCAGCAGGCGCGCAAAUUACCCACUCUCAGUUCGAGGAGGUAGUGACGAAAAAUAACGAGGCGGGUCUCUUCGAGGCUCGCCAUCGGAAUGGGUACAAUCUAAACCCUUUAACGAGGAUCUAUUGGAGGGCAAGUCUGGU